UGGAGAGCAGCCAGGUUAGGGUCUCUCCCUUCCCUAAGACUCCCCAGGCACCCCUAAAAACUGGUUCAGUUCCAGUCCAGCCCUCGGCAAGCUCGAGGUUCGUCUUGAAGGUCGGAGGCUGACUGGAGACAUCCUCAGAACACUAAGGUUUGGGUGUCCGCGCGAGGGGGAGGGGAGGGGCAUAUGAUGCAAUCAGAAGCCAAAAUGCAAAGGAGACACAGCCCGUUGCCAUCUCCGACCACAGUGUGAAUUUUCCAGUGACAGAACGUGGCGUGCAUUUGACAACUCUAGCAUAUGUAACUGCUGUUUCCGUAGCUCCCA
This 321-nucleotide long non-coding RNA is filed under the name Mustela putorius furo (domestic ferret). Its description in RNAcentral is "lncRNA (ENSMPUG00000028181.1)". The record is from RNAcentral. Lineage: Eukaryota; Metazoa; Chordata; Mammalia; Carnivora; Mustelidae.